CAUUACCGAAUUGUCGACACGAGUUGUUGCUGGUCCCCAAACGGGGGCACGUGCACGCUCUGUUUGUACAUCCAUUCACACCUGUGCACCCCAUGUAGUUCUGUGGUUUGGGGGACUCUGUCCUCUCGCCGUGGUUCUAUAUCUUUACACACGCUCUGUAAUAAAGUCUCAUGGAAUGUAUGCAGCGUUUAACGCAAUACAAUACAACUUUCAGCAACGGAUCUCUUGGCUCUCGCAUCGAUGAAGAACGCAGCGAAAUGCGAUAAGUAAUGUGAAUUGCAGAAUUCAGUGAAUCAUCGAAUCUUUGAACGCACCUUGCGCCCUUUGGCUAUUCCGAAGGGCAUGCCUGUUUGAGUAUCAUGAACACCUCAACUCUCAUGGUUCGCCGUGAUGAGCUUGGACUUUGGGGGUCUUGCUGGCCUGCGGUCGGCUCCCUUCAAAUGAAUCAGCUUUCCAGUGUUUGGUGGCAUCACGGGUGUGAUAAAUAUCUACGCUUGUGGUUUCCGGAGGAUCAUUUCCGAAUUGGUGGCACGAAGUGGUGGUUGGUCCCAAACGGGGGCAAGUGCCCGGUUUGGUUGUACCAUCCAUUACCCCUUGGCACCCCNAGGAGGUUUGGGGGUUGGGGGGAUUCGUUCUUUUGCCGGGGUUUUAUAUUUUUACCCCCGGUUUGUAAUAAAAUUUCCAGGAAAGGAAGCAGGGUUUAAAGCCAUUCCAUUCCAAUUUUAGCAAAGGAUUUUUUGGGUUUUGGCUUGGAGAAGGAAGCAAGGAAAAUGGGUAAGUAAAGGGAAAUGCCGAAAUCAAGGAAUUCUUGGAUUUUUGAACGCCCCCUGGGCCCCUUGGGUUUUUCGAAGGGCCAGCCUGUUUGAGGAUUCAGAACCCCUUAAAUUUCCAGGUUUGCCGGGGGGAGGCUGGGACUUGGGGGUUCUGGUGGCCUGCGGUUGGCUCCCUUCAAAAGAAUUCACUUUCCCAGGUUUGGGGGCCUCCCGGGGGGGAAAAAAAUUNACGGCUGGGGGUUUCCGCCAGGUAACCUUCAGUGAUGGAGGUUCGCUGGGGCUCAUAAAUGUCUCUCCUCAGCGAAGACAG
RNAcentral lists this unclassified non-coding RNA (1083 nucleotides) under uncultured Tomentella. RNAcentral's name for it is "sequence contains ITS1, 5.8S rRNA gene and ITS2". The stretch from base 206 to 360 matches the Rfam family "5.8S ribosomal RNA". The record is from RNAcentral. Lineage: Eukaryota; Fungi; Basidiomycota; Agaricomycetes; Thelephorales; Thelephoraceae.